ACCAACCUCGCCGUUGCUUGCUAAGGCACGGCGCCUCGCCGCUGCCUUGAGAGGGGCCAGUCGUGCCGUCGCUUGGAGGAGCAGCCACCACGCUGAGAGGGUCGUGGGCGUCCGAUGCCGCUGCAGUGCUGCGGUACGGGAAGCGCCAUGCAUAUGGUCGCGGCCUGGUGCGCCGGAGGGCGCCGCCGGCGUCGAGAUCUGGUCCUGCCGCGGGAAGCAGUGGUUCCGAGGGUGGCCGGGCCGUGGGCUGAGCGCUGCGCGCCGUAGUGCAAGGAGCCGGAACAGGAGGGGUGCCUCACAAACACCGUCUCGGCUGGCCGCUGCGUCGUCACUCGUCAGUGGCCAUGGCCGAUUGGCGUCGGCUGUUGGUAAGGGAGUUGGCCGUUGGCCGGGUGUCUUGCACGUCGUGCACCGGUGCGACGUCGAGGCUGGGCUCUCCGCUGCAAGCAGGUACGUCGCCUGGAUUGGAGGUUACUAGUACGUAUUUGUCUAAGAACAAAAUUUGGAAUAGGAUCACCUGAUGAUGUAACGAUUAAGAUCAAGAGUUCUGGUCUUUAAGGCUGAUUCGGGAUGCUUGCUGUUUGUGACUUUAUCUCUUGAUCUUUGCGUUGUGCUUCCUGAUUCUUGUUCGACUGUUUUUCCGCUCUUCCAGUUAUUGUUCUUCAGAUGUGUGUUCGUCAUGGUAGAUGCAAGAAAUUGUAAAUUCUCAGGAUUUUGUGCUUUCUUCUCAUGGUGGCCUUCUUACUCUUUGCAUCUGCGAUGAAAAGGAAUCUAAGAUUGAGAAGGAACUGCCAAUUUAAUUGGUUGAUGAUUGAUGGGUAGAUCGUCGUAGAGGACGACGGGGUCGACGAAAAGAAGAAACGAGGAGAAGGUUGUUCCAGCGUAUCCGGAGAAACGAAUUCAUCGGAGUUAUUCGUCGAGGCUCUCGGCAUAGGCGUGCUGAUAACGUGUGAAAGUAAAAUGAGAGAGGCAGGAGCAAAUGAUGGAAUAGUUACUUUCAUUGAUGAAGUUUGGGGUAUAUAUACCCGGAUACAAAGGCGGUUACAAAGAGCGGUUGCCAAUAGUGAAACCGACAUAAGCAGGGAUUAACCCUUUAACUAAACUAAUUAAUUAAUUCCUAACAGAGACCUCCUGCAAACCUCCUCCCGUGCGUACCCGAUCGCAUCUGCUGACACCUGUACGUUCCCAACAUCCGACGGUAUCCCUCGUCCCACCCGCUCCACGCGUUCCCUCGGCUCGCGCGCUGACUCUCGGCUCCAGAUGAGUCGGCUCAGGCGCGCUCCUUUCCCUUCUCCCAGUCGCUCGCUCCGUUCGUCCGCCGCCGCCGCAAUCGCCUCCGCGGCCCGCCGCCGCCGGCUCCCUCGUCCGCUUCCACAGUUGGAACUUUCGCACCCCCAUUCGCUACCGCGGUCACCUCUUCUGCCCCGCCCCCUCGUCUGCCACGGGGUAGUGACAGCGGCCGCCGGCCACACGACGCAGAUGCGGCUUGAGUUCCUUGUCCCUUUGGUUUGCCCACUGAUUCUUUUCGAGAUUCAUUUGGGUGCUAUGCAGUUGAUCUGUCCAUUGCUGGGUUUGUUUUGUUGAUUCGUAUUUCGGUUCAACUUCUAUUGUUCUUGCUGAUGAACUGCUGUUGUUAUAUAGUGUUGCGUCAGGAGACAAGCACUGCCCUGACCCGGUUGUAGUCAAUUUGAGAAAAACCUUGACUGGAGUUACAAGAUGUUUAAGCCUGGUUGGAAGGACAUCUUCUGAAUGAAUCAAAGUGAGCUCGAGGCCGAGAUAUAAAAGGUUUCUCAAGAUUCUACUCUUGGCCCAAGGAUGAAAGCAUAUGUAAGCAGGGUGGCUAUCUUUGACAUCGACGGAGCCCUCCCUAGAGGCAGGAGCCUCGGCGACGGAAGAACAAAGGGGAGGCCUCCUCGCUGUGCAACAACAAAGCUCCACCGUCCGUCUCCUAGACGAAGACCCUCAAGUACAAAACUGUCGUGGAAACCAUUGGAGAAGAUGGAAUUAUUGUUGAUUUCGUCAACUUUUAGAUAGACUAAAUGUUAAGUCUUGCAACUUUGGAGUUGAAUUAUGACAAAUAUUGUAGGAAUCUAGAGUUGAUUUCUCUCCCUGGCAAUGUACAAUGUAUUUUCUUAUCUAACACAUAUAUAUGAAUGAUUUGAAAUCUUCAA
Triticum dicoccoides is the source of this 2171-nucleotide long non-coding RNA. RefSeq lists it as uncharacterized. The record is from RefSeq and is a predicted model, not a curated record. The transcript is spliced from 2 exons. Lineage: Eukaryota; Viridiplantae; Streptophyta; Magnoliopsida; Poales; Poaceae.